RNAcentral lists this transfer RNA (85 nucleotides) under Methanocellales archaeon. RNAcentral's name for it is "tRNA-Ser". It matches the Rfam family "tRNA". From Rfam's summary of the family: Transfer RNA (tRNA) molecules are approximately 80 nucleotides in length. Lineage: Archaea; Methanobacteriati; Methanobacteriota; Methanomicrobia; Methanocellales. RNAcentral also lists the same sequence under 1 other name. The record is from RNAcentral.
GCCGGGGUGGCAGAGCGGACAAAUGCGGCAGGCUCGAGACCUGUUGCUCCUUUGGAGCACUUGGGUUCAAAUCCCAACCCCGGCG